UACGGGGGGGGCAAGCGUUGUUCGGAAUUACUGGGCGUAAAGGGCUCGUAGGUGGCCAACUAAGUCAGACGUGAAAUCCCUCAGCUUAACUGGAGAACUGCGUCUGAUACUGGAUGGCUUGAGAUUGGGAGAGGGAUGCGGAAUUCCAGGUGUAGCGGUGAAAUGCGUAGAUAUCUGGAGGAACACCGGUGGCGAAGGCGGCAUCCUGGACCAACACUGACACUGAGGAGCGAAAGCCAGGGGAGCAAACGGG
Molecule: ribosomal RNA, 253 nt
Filed under: uncultured bacterium
Lineage: Bacteria
Description: partial 16S ribosomal RNA
Rfam family: Bacterial small subunit ribosomal RNA
Source: RNAcentral